Molecule: ribosomal RNA, 289 nt
Filed under: uncultured Alphaproteobacteria bacterium
Lineage: Bacteria; Pseudomonadati; Pseudomonadota; Alphaproteobacteria
Description: partial 16S ribosomal RNA
Source: RNAcentral
CUACCCGGGUUUCUAAUCCUGUUUGCUCCCCACGCUUUCGCACAUGAGCGUCAAUGCCAGACCAGGUAGUCGCCUUCGCCACUGGUGUUCUUCCGAAUAUCUACGAAUUUCACCUCUACACUCGGAAUUCCACUACCCUCUUCUGGAUUCUAGCUCGACAGUCUUAAAAGCAAUUCCCAGGUUAAGCCCGGGGCUUUCACUUCUAAUUUAUCGAGCCGCCUGCGUGCGCUUUACGCCCAGUAAUUCCGAACAACGCUAGCCCCCUUCGUAUUACCGCGGCUGCUGGCAC